Peromyscus leucopus (white-footed mouse) is the source of this 2395-nucleotide long non-coding RNA. RefSeq lists it as uncharacterized. The record is from RefSeq and is a predicted model, not a curated record. The transcript has 4 exons. NCBI's taxonomy places the organism in Eukaryota, Metazoa, Chordata, Mammalia, Rodentia, Cricetidae.
UCAGGUUUAGUUAUCAGGUCAAAGUUUCUACUGGGUCUAAACACUUAUCAUCAGGAAGGAGACCUCUACACAUCAGCUUCUAGCAGAAGAUAGAAGACUCAGUGGGGACUUGAAACAGUAAAUGAAAACACAGGAAAAACACAAAUGUUGGUUUGUUCAGUUCCACAGCAGGUGCAGCCCAGGCUGCCCCUUAGAAGUGGGAAGUUUGACGGGUAAUAAGUGAUGAAAUCCAAGACUCAUAAGAUGCUCUUCCCCCUUUGGCUGUGCAAAGAAAAAGAAAACUCAAGAGGAAGACCCCAGGUCCUUUGUUUUAGCAAGAGAAGCUACACCUUGCUCGGGUGUUUCUGGUUUGGGCUGACCUCCUUUUGGCAACCCUGUUAGAGUUCUCUGGGCUUUUGAAAGAUUAAUAACACAUGUCUAGACUGAGGCUCUCUGUAUAUUCUUUCACCUUCGGAGUGUUGGUGCAGAAACUCUUUGAUCGCAUACCUUGCCAGAGAAAAAGAAAAGAAAAGAAAAUUGACGUUUUUCGCUUAUCUGUGUGUGGGAGUCCCUCCUUGUCUGUGGGUGGUGGAUCUGUUGCAAGACUUGGCGUGCAUGACUGAAACCAUGGGUGAUACUGAGCCCUGGAUACACUGUCUAUGUUCCAGUACCUCUCAGUGGUUGCCACAUGCCACCACACUGCAUCUGUCCUUCCAUGUUUCGUGCUCUGGUUCCUCGUUUGCAUCACUUGCCUUGCAUUUCGGGGGUGUGCAUAAGCGAGGUGGCUCCUUGAUUACAAGCACCUGAUGCUAAGAUAGCUGAACUAAUGCCCGAGAUGGCCGCUAGCAAGGACCAGAGGGGGCUCAUGCACAGGGCACACACAUGCUGGAUGAAGGGAGGAUCUGCGUCCCUGUGGGACUGAGUGGGGAAGCACAGUUUCGUGUAACUCUAAUUUGAAGGAAACUAUAUUCUAAAAAGUGUGAGUUGUUUAUUUUGAAAAUUUUCCUUUGACUAUUUCAGACUGCCAGGUGACUCAAACCUUGAAAAGUGAAACAGUAGAUAAAGGGGGAAAUCCAAGGAGUUGGUUUGCUUUCAUAGUCUCUGUGUAUUUGGUUGGUGCAUGCCAUUCUAUUUUUUAUGUACAUUAUAUGACCCAAAACAGAAGGAAAAGACUGAGGAAAAUGAAACAAGCUAUUAUAUCUUAAAAUGUUUUGGUAAGCAUGCACGAUGGCUUCAGACUAUAAUAAUUUCCUAGCUUUUCAUGGCACACUCUACAUGCAGUGACUUUUAUUAGAAAUGACUGAAGAUGCAAAUUUGUAUUCUAAAUAGGCUCUUUAGGAUUUUUGACUGAUCUGAGCUGACUUUUUGUCAAACCCGCUUAGAUGACCAUUGUUUCAUUUAGUAGCACACUGCAGGAGCUCUUCCUUUAGAGGCGGGAUGUGUCAGCUCCACUGUGUCCUUCUUAGUCACUUGUACUUCGUGAUUAGAAUUCCGUUUGUAGUUUCUUUGUGGAGAGCUUUCAAAGUGGCUUGUCUCUUUUGUAAGAGUUGAUUUGGAUACAUAAUAAGAUUCUUAAAUCUACUUAAUUAGUCCACAUAAAAUGUAACAUGUCAACAAGUUUGAAGAGGGAACAGGGGAGGUGACACUGUCCAGCCUCUCCAUCUGCAGACCCUCAUUUUUUUCCCUUUGGAUGCCUCACUCAGUAUGCCAAGACAGUGUCACACUUAUGGACAAAGAACAAAUAUCUUGGUAAAUGCAUGUGUUGGAUAAUCAUAAAAUAGAAUUUUUUUUUUUUCUGGGGCUGGAGGGUUAUAAGUAGAAAUAGAAUGGCCAGAAUUUCCCAAGCUGGAUUGCCUCUUCAGCUCCAACAUUGGAUUUAAGAUGCUACUUUCUUUUCCUUUUCAUGUGUGUGUGAGCUUGUGAGCCCAUGUGUGUUUGCACAUAUGACUGCAAAUGUGUGGAGUUCAGAGGCCAACCUUGAGUACUGUUAGUUGUUCAAGAGGUGUUCAUCUUGUUCUAUAAGACAGGCUCUCCAACUUCCCUGGCCUGGAACUCACUGAUUUGGCUGGGCUGUCUGUCCAGCAAGUCUCAGGUGUCCAGCAGUCCGACUCUCCAGCAUUGGGGGUAUAAGCAUGCACAAAUCCAAUUCAAGUCCUUCUGCUUCUAUAGCACUUUUCUUUUGGAGUCCCCAGCCUGGCUUUCGAGCUUUUAAAUAAGACCACAAGGGGAUCACACAGGUGGCUUUAAGUGGACCUGUGACUUUCCUUGGCAGUCUCUACUCCAGGUUAUUUGACUGUGACAAUAUCAAAGUGAAUCAUGAUAGGAACAUGGGUCUGUACACAUUCUCCAUGAAGAGUCAGAGCAUAUGUAUUUUUAGCUUUAUGAGCUAGAUAGUCUUUUUCUUUCUUUCUAGAAC